GCCUGGUGAUGAGCUUGCGAGCCGGCGGACUCAUAAUCCGUUGGUCGCUGGUUCGAGUCCAGCCGGCCCCA
RNAcentral lists this transfer RNA (71 nucleotides) under Actinomycetota bacterium. RNAcentral describes it as "Actinobacteria bacterium tRNA-Ile". It matches the Rfam family "tRNA". Rfam says of the family: Transfer RNA (tRNA) molecules are approximately 80 nucleotides in length. Their secondary structure includes four short double-helical elements and three loops (D, anti-codon, and T loops). The record is from RNAcentral. Lineage: Bacteria; Bacillati; Actinomycetota.